UUUAAAUGGGUAACAGGGUUACUUAGUUUACACUUUGAAUUAGCAUGCGAAUCCAACUCACAAAAACGAUGUAUUAGUUGACAAAUCCAGCAGAUUUUACUUUAAGACUUUGAUAACAUGAAAUGGCUCGAUACUUCAAAAAU
Molecule: long non-coding RNA, 143 nt
Organism: Neltuma alba
Lineage: Eukaryota; Viridiplantae; Streptophyta; Magnoliopsida; Fabales; Fabaceae
Exons: 3
Source: RefSeq, a predicted model, not a curated record